Camelus dromedarius (Arabian camel) is the source of this 697-nucleotide long non-coding RNA. RefSeq lists it as uncharacterized. The transcript has 4 exons. The record is from RefSeq and is a predicted model, not a curated record. Lineage: Eukaryota; Metazoa; Chordata; Mammalia; Artiodactyla; Camelidae.
GUACAGACUUUUAGAUCUUGACUGAGUUCUGGAGAAGCAGGGGCUGGGACUGGUACAUAGCUACCACACAGGAAGGCCAGAAGUGCCCUUCCUUUGUUUAAAAGAACACCCCAGAGUGGAUUAUAUGCAUCAGUGAGGAUCUCAGACUAUGGCAAACUCAGCUCACCAUUCAAGACAUUUUCUACUCUUGAAAAGAGUACUUCAAAGAGCAUUAUGAAAAGCAAAAACUUGAGAUCCAUCCCUGCCUCAAAUCAAGCUAGGAAAAAAGUGAAGUAGCAUUGAAGAAUCAAACAAGAAACAAAGGUGGUUGCCUUUUGAGGAAACAUCGGCUCCUGCCACAGAGGAAAAAUAAAAUCAAAAACAGAAAUAGGAACAAGAGACACUUGUACAGGGACGUCAACAGGAAAAUGAAAAAUUGUAUAAUCAAGUGAAAGAUCUCCAUGAACAAGAAAAAUGAAGAGUGAAUGUUCAAGGAAAACCAGAGCUUAUUCAGCAAAUUAGCAUCCUGAAAGAAUAUCAAGAAAGAGAAAACAGGCUUAUUGGAAGACCUCAAAAGACUGAAGCAAGACAAGCAAGCUCUUGAAGCAGACUUGGGAAAAACGAAGAAAGAGAGAGACCAAACCAGAGAGCAGGUGCACGCACCACAGGAAGCACGCAGAGCUGGGAUGAGUACUUUAUACUCGUAACUGUGCUGAAC